GACGAACGCUGGCGGCGUGCCUAAUACAUGCAAGUAGAACGCUGAAGGAGGAGCUUGCUUCUCUGGAUGAGUUGCGAACGGGUGAGUAACGCGUAGGUAACCUGCCUGGUAGCGGGGGAUAACUAUUGGAAACGAUAGCUAAUACCGCAUAAUAGUAGAUGUUGCAUGACAUUUGCUUAAAAGGUGCAAUUGCAUCACUACCAGAUGGACCUGCGUUGUAUUAGCUAGUUGGUGAGGUAACGGCUCACCAAGGCAACGAUACAUAGCCGACCUGAGAGGGUGAUCGGCCACACUGGGACUGAGACACGGCCCAGACUCCUACGGGAGGCAGCAGUAGGGAAUCUUCGGCAAUGGACGGAAGUCUGACCGAGCAACGCCGCGUGAGUGAAGAAGGUUUUCGGAUCGUAAAGCUCUGUUGUAAGAGAAGAACGAGGGUGAGAGUGGAAAGUUCACACUGUGACGGUAGCUUACCAGAAAGGGACGGCUAACUACGUG
RNAcentral lists this ribosomal RNA (495 nucleotides) under uncultured bacterium. RNAcentral's name for it is "partial 16S ribosomal RNA". It matches the Rfam family "Bacterial small subunit ribosomal RNA", at positions 28 to 507 of the family's 1533-position model. The record is from RNAcentral.